UAGACCAAGAACUUAUGCUAAUUCGUGGUGUUUAGUCCUAGGGCAGUCAGGACACUGAGCGCAGGCCUGGGUGCAUGUUUGUGCUGCUGUCAAAGAACCAACAUCCGGUAACAGCGUGAAGUAUUUUGUGCCUCAGCGCUGAAGAGGAAAGCUCUGUAAUGCCUUUUCCUCUAUUACUCCCUUUUCUUAUAUGCAGAUAACUCAUUGAUUCUUGCAGGUUUUCUACUGAUGGUUAGUUAAAAAUACACCGUCUUCAGGCCUUUGCUUAAUUGCUCUCUAAAUCCUUCUUAGCCUACCUGUUUUCCAGUGUAAUUUUGCUUGCCAUAAAUUAUACUUCUUUUCCAUUGCCUUCUGUCUGGCCAGAUUUUCAGUUACUGAAAAACAGCAAUUUGGAUAAAAGAAAUUCUUGAAACACAGUGUUUCACUUUCUCUUUUACCCCCUUUUUUCCUUUUCUUUUGAAAAGAGAGGGUAGUGUUUGUUUAUGGACAGGUGAGCCCUGCAGCAUUCAGUUAUGCUAUGCCUACCUAACUGCAUGGGAAGCAUAACAAUUUUAACAGCCUGGUUUCCAUUUUGAGGUACUUUUGACUAGUUUUCCUCUUUACAACAAAAGCUCAAAGUAAACUGGGAGAUAUUUUAUUUAUACAUGAUUUGUCAUGCCUAAAAAUACUGAACUUAAAUAUCCUGUGAGAUAAUUCAUGAUUCCAGUAUUGGUUUCCUACUGAAUCAACUAUUGCUCACUUAAGACGAAUCUGAGAGCAGCCUGUUCUGAAUACAAGGUGUGUGACAGGCAGGAUAAAGAAAUGAAAAAGGCAUACCUUAAAUGUGUAUUUUGAAGAGGGGAAAUACAAGUUAAUAGAAAUUUUCUAAGUUAAGAUUCUGAAUAGCAGAUCACAAGGGUACAUUAACUACCUUUUGGCUGUUCUUGAUCAAACUUAAGUUGUGUUUUUUAGUUGGAGUGUUUAUUAUAUGCAGCAAGUUCUAAUCAUGUGCUUUUUACACGCUACAGGUGUGGUAUUCUUGUUCUUCUGACCAAGUUUUGUGCAUCUUUGGAUAUACAGAAUUAUAAAGUCCUUUCUCCUAUUUCCUUGUCUUUGCAGUAUUGGUCCACUAUCAUCUUUUCUAUGUCUUUAGAGUGUUCUAUUAUGCUUUAUUAUUUCAAUGUUAACCUGCAACUACUCUUACAGGAAAAUCAAAAAAGUGUAAGUGAAAGCUAGUUUGAAAAAGCUCUGUUUGUUUACUUAGGAAACGAUGCUCUCCGAUUAUUACAAAACAAAUUUUCGAGGAAGACAUUUAUAUUUUUCAUUAUUUCCAUAGCCUUUUUCAGUAUUCUUUACCAUCCUUACGUUGUAUCAGACAUGCUUGGAUACAAAUAUCCACCAAGUAGGGUAGCGUUCCACUCCCUGGGAGCGAGCCAACCUACUCCCUAAGAAAUAGCUAUUCCCAAGUGGGAAUAUUUACUUUACGUGCCAAUCUAGCCUGACUGAAAUCUCAUUGACAAUACAUUUUCACCCUGAUUAAUAAAACAUUAACAUGAAUAUACAGCAUGUGCAACCUGACAUUUUCUUGACACCUGUAUAGCAGAGAACUGCUAAGAUGUCAGUAUUUCAAAGACAAACUGUGCGCAACUUCCCUAGCAUGAGAACAGUCCAAAUCUUGAUCUUUUUAAAAAUAACAUCACCCAGUUGAAACUGAAGAAAGAAAAUUAAUCAUUGCUGCUCCAGAAAAGAAGAUUCCCCCCCUCUUUGGUAGCUUAUGUUUACAUUAAUUUACUAGUCGUGGCAAAAAUAUAACUAGCCUGUGGAUGGCAGG
Struthio camelus australis is the source of this 1810-nucleotide non-coding RNA. Lineage: Eukaryota; Metazoa; Chordata; Aves; Struthioniformes; Struthionidae. The record is from RefSeq and is a predicted model, not a curated record.